UACGAAGGGGGCGAGCGUUGUUCGGAAUCACUGGGCGUAAAGGGCGCGUAGGCGGCCCUCAUUGUCGCGUGUGAAAUCCCUCGGCUCAACUGAGGACGUGCGGAAGAAACUGCAGGGCUGGAGUCCGAGAGAGGUGAGUGGAAUACCCAGUGUAGAGGUGAAAUUCGUAGAUAUUGGGUGGAACACCGGUGGCGAAAGCGGCUCACUGGCUCGGUUCUGACGCUGAGGCGCGAAAGCGUGGGGAGCAAACAGG
RNAcentral lists this ribosomal RNA (253 nucleotides) under uncultured bacterium. RNAcentral describes it as "partial 16S ribosomal RNA". It matches the Rfam family "Bacterial small subunit ribosomal RNA", at positions 524 to 776 of the family's 1533-position model. The record is from RNAcentral.